ACCUGAUUAAUAUGUAUUGCCACGAGGCCUCUGUCGCUAUCCAAGGUGCUGGCCACCUUACCUUGGUGGUUCCAGCCAACCUUCCUUACCAGGGCUAGAGUGUGAUCCUCUCUCUGCUCCCAGUGCUGUGAUGCUAUCUGCUCAUUUAACCUCUAUAUUACUAGGGUCUGCUACACCACAGGCUGCUGAUAUUAAGCUUAUGCGUUAAUACAAGGCCUCAGUUGCUUAUUUGCACCUCUGGGGUCAGUAUCUGCAGCCAGAUCGAGUUUCUCUGUCCCAGUUCUGACCUGGAAGGUAAGCCCUCUGACCCAUUUCAGCCAAGGCACUCUCUCUUUCUGCUUCUUAUGUAAACUACAUGCCAAUCCUCACACCUGUCUCCACUUGGUUUGAGACAUGAUCCCAAUUCUCACUCCUGAGAAUGUCUAAGAAAUAGUUACACAAUUCUUUUUCUACUGGAGGAGGUCCUUUGCAUGGGAGAAAGUUCAGGUUAAAAGCACAUAAUUUAUUAAUAUAUUUCCUCAGACCUAAGUUUAUACCCUAGCUUUAUUAAUGACUAAAUAUGCAAACUUGGGCAAGCUACUAAUGCCUCCGAAUCUUAGCUUCCUCAUCUCUAACAUGGGAAUAAUAAUACAUGCCUCAUAGUGUUAUUAAUAAAAUGGAAGCUAAUGUGUUUAAAAUCACUUAGUUCAUAAGCUUUUAUUGUUUUUUUAAAAGGUAUUAAUAAAUAACAGUACAGCAGUAGUCUCAUCCAUUGUCCUAGUCUGAGCUGGCCUAUCUCUCUCAUUGUGGAACAUUUCCUACCUUCUCCUACUCUCUCCUGACAGCUGCUUUUGCUGCUAAUAAAUCCUGCCUGUGAUAUCACAAUGCAUUGUAGCAGCUGGCUCAGAGUCAAGACAUCAACACAUGAAUCAGACAGGAUGAGAGGAGGAUAAGGCUAAAGACAGAGGCUCCAGCUACCUUGGUGACAAGGAAUGGAGGAGAAAAGGAACAGGAAAUUUUAAUAAGAUUAGGAGGGCUUGCUUUUCUGCCAAGUGAGCCGCUUUCACAGGAGCGAUAAAUUGGAAAUGUUAUCUGGCUUGAUAUGCCAGUUUUUCUGAGAAAAUCACUCUGCCAGUGGUGACAGAAUGGAAGAGCUGAAAACAUCUUCUUUUUUCAAAGUCAUAUGUCACGAACCAAGGAGACUCCAAAAAAUAAAUUAUGGAAGAUUAUGACCACUGCUGCCAAGGAUACAGUGAAAUAGAGUUUGUGGCAUCUGGUUUUAACUCCAAUAUGUAAAGAGCUUGGAAGCCAUCUUUCCUUCCACCACAACAAGAAAACAGCUGAACUGAAAAUCAAUGACUUUUCUUAGAUCCAUUAAAGAAUUGAGAUUGCAGGACACACUACCACCCUGAAAACUGGAGAGAGGAAAAAUACAGAGAGGAAGCAGAUCAGCUUACCUGAAGCAGAGGCCGCUGGAAUCUGUGACAGGCUGCAUUUGUAACCAAGCCGUGGUCCUUUUCAUUGCAUCUUGCCAGAAUGAAGAAGAGCUGAUCUCUCCAGUUCCUGUUAUUCCCCUUACAUUGCCCACAUUUAUUGCUCAAUAAACCACAGAAAUCCUUCUGUAACCCUCGUUCUUCUCCUCUCUUCCCCCUUUCACUAUUGAAUUUAAAACUCAUGCAUUAGGCAUGUGCUUUGUGAUAUUUGUGUCACCUCUCUAAACUGUAGUGCAAAAAAGAGGAAGAAAAGGCAUCUGCUCAAAUUGACAUUUCCAUCUCGGCUCACUCAUUUGAGAGUGACAGGCUAUAAUUUGCCAACAGGUUCACAUCCAAAUGCAUAGGUUAGUGCUGACAUCAGGUGAUUUUUCCACCAUUGCCAUCUCCAGCUCAUGCAUGCUACACAGGAGGCCACGCUUAAGUCAGCAGAUAUUGCAGGGAAAAGGAAGAGAAAAAAAGGAGAAAGCUCUUGAUUUCCCUAAGCCUCUUAAUGCACCAAACACAAUGAUAUACUUAGGUCUAUUUGGUGGAGCAGGUGGGUGGGUCAGAGCAUGCAUUGGAAUGCUGUGUGGGUUGAGAAAACUGGGUUUUCUCUUAUGUGCACUCAAUCUGUGCAAACACACUUACCCUUUGACUCUGUGAGUAAACAGACUUUUUAGCCAGGAAAACCAGGAUCAAUUCCUGGCUCUGAAGACCAAGACCGAGGUGAGAGAGGAAACAUAGUUCCCUCCUGCUUCCAGUGGUCUUUCCCUAUCCAGUUACGUGCCUCCACCAGCCACAACAAGGUCCACUUGCUAUUAGACUGGUGCAAUGAAUGGCAAAAAACACAAUUACUUUUGCACCAACCUAGUAACUUGUACAUUGUCUGGCCAAGAAGAGAACGUGUUUAUUACUUUCUUUUUCUUUCUGUUUCUUUUCUCCCUAUUGCUUCUUUCAUCCUCCUCCUUCCUUCUGGAUUCAAUUUUCUUCUUGCUGGGUUAUAGCCUUUAGAGGUUCUCUCAGCAAGCAUCUCUUUGGUAGUAAAUUCUCCUAGUCUUUUCAUGGUCUUUAAUAGAAUUUUUUGGGGUAAUUUUUGCCUGUGUGCUUGCUUUCAGCAGGAGUUGGUAUUAACAGCAGUCGUGCACGUGCCUAGGUUUAGGAGGACUCCUAUUGUCUGGUUUUAUGGUUGUCUCUGCAGAGGUUCCUCACUUCCUGGCUAGCUUUUACAUUAAUUCCGUGGCUCGAAGUUUCUACCCCGUGUCAGGAGGUACAACUCAGGCUCAUCUACUACAUACACCUCAUGCAGUUCCAGGGUUCUAAUAUUUUAUGAGUCACUACUUUCCAUCAGCGAUUCAGGCAGACAUUCACUUCUGGGCUCUGUCCCAGAGCUGGAAGGGAAGUUUCUCCUCCCUGUUUACAGACUCAGCAUGUGUUUCCUGGUGCCUUACUUUACCCAGGAAUCUUCAUUCCUUCUUGUAGCCUUAUAAGGGGCCACAGACUUGAAGACAGUUUCUUUCCAAGAACAUUACAACCCCAGCCCCAGAGGGUCAAAUUCUGUUCUUUACUGAGCCUGGGAAGCCUCUUAUCAUCUCUAGAUUACCUGAGGGGCACCCUUUUUAACUUUGACCUCAGAUUCUAUUUUAUUGAAUUAAAAUUGUUUAUUUAGUAACUUUACACUUUACAGCAUAGAGAAGGUUUUGCAUAAAGUUUUGUUUUGCCUUAUUGACCAGGAGUCCUGCACUCACUUUUCUG
Molecule: long non-coding RNA, 3203 nt
Filed under: Homo sapiens (human)
Lineage: Eukaryota; Metazoa; Chordata; Mammalia; Primates; Hominidae
Description: HSALNT0229135
Source: RNAcentral